RNAcentral lists this ribosomal RNA (468 nucleotides) under uncultured bacterium. Its description in RNAcentral is "partial 16S ribosomal RNA". It matches the Rfam family "Bacterial small subunit ribosomal RNA", at positions 28 to 507 of the family's 1533-position model. The record is from RNAcentral.
GACGAACGCUGGCGGCGUGCUUAACACAUGCAAGUCGAACGGAAAGGCCCUGCUUUUGUGGGCUGCUCGAGUGGCGAACGGGUGAGUAACACGUGAGUAACCUGCCCUUGACUUUGGGAUAACUUCAGGAAACUGGGGCUACUACCGGAUAGGAGCUCCUGCUGCAUGGUGGGGGUGGGAAAGUUUCGGCGGUUGGGGAUGGAUUCGCGGCUUAUCAGCUUGUUGGUGGGGUAGUGGCUUACCAAGGCUUUGCCGGGUAGCCGGCCUGAGAGGGUGACCGGCCACAUUGGGACUGAGAUACGGCCCAGACUCCUACGGGAGGCAGCAGUGGGGAAUAUUGCACAAUGGGCGGAAGCCUGAUGCAGCAACGCCGCGUGCGGGAUGACGGCCUUCGGGUUGUAAACCGCUUUCGCCUGUGACGAAGCGUGAGUGACGGUAAUGGGUAAAGAAGCACCGGCUAACUACGUG